GCGGAGGGCCGGAUGGCCGCUUGGACGGGUUUCGGCCUGUUUGGGAGGAAAGUCCGGACUCCACAGGACAACGGUGCCGGGUAACGCCCGGCCGGGGCAACCCGAGGGAAAGCGCCACAGAAAACAAACCGCGUCAGAGCAAUCUGGCGUAAGGGUGAAACGGUGGGGUAAGGGCCCACCGCGGGGCUGGCAACAGCACCGGCAUGGCAAGCCCCACCGGGAGCAAUGCCAAAUAGGGACCGCGCGCGGGGCUGGUCGGGCAACCGAAACCGCCCGCAGGCACGUCUUGGCCCGGCGGUCCGGGUUGGCAGCUAGAGGGGGAUCGGCAACGGUGCCUUCAGAUGAAUGGUCAUCCAUGGGGACCUAGGUCCUCGGGACAGAAUCCGGCUUAUAGGCCCUCCGCGCAA
This 407-nucleotide RNase P RNA is filed under the name Pseudohalocynthiibacter aestuariivivens. Its description in RNAcentral is "RNase P RNA component class A". It matches the Rfam family "Bacterial RNase P class A". From Rfam's summary of the family: Ribonuclease P (RNase P) is a ubiquitous endoribonuclease, found in archaea, bacteria and eukarya as well as chloroplasts and mitochondria. Its best characterised activity is the generation of mature 5'-ends of tRNAs by cleaving the 5'-leader elements of precursor-tRNAs. The record is from RNAcentral. Lineage: Bacteria; Pseudomonadati; Pseudomonadota; Alphaproteobacteria; Rhodobacterales; Paracoccaceae.